Molecule: long non-coding RNA, 1465 nt
Organism: Ostrea edulis (European flat oyster)
Lineage: Eukaryota; Metazoa; Mollusca; Bivalvia; Ostreida; Ostreidae
Exons: 3
Source: RefSeq, a predicted model, not a curated record
UGGUUUUAUCGCCAGUCGAUUUGAUACCUUGAUUGCAUUUCCUACUAGAAAAUCUGGCAGCUACUGAGCUAGCUGCUAGAAACUGUCAAAUGAAAAUGACUAAUUAAGAGGCCAACAUUAUUUGGGGACAAUGGUGCACUGCUCAGUUUGCCUGGAGGUGCUAACCAACCCUUGCUGUUGUGUUCCCUGUGGUCAUAUGUUCUGCAGGAACUGUAUAGAAUCAUGGUCUAAACGUACAAAAGAAUGUCCUGACUGUAGAAGACAGAUUGAUCGUCUGCAGUCCAUCUUUGGUUUGGAAGAUAGUAAACACAACAAUGAUGAAACUGAUACCAAAGCAAAAGGAGAUCAAAGCUUCUUCCUGCAACAACACAGAACAGCACUGCAAAAGCAAUGGGUACUUUUGAUAAUUGGGAUUGUCAUCAUGGUCGGGCUAGUGAUAGAUCUGGGCUCCUCUGAUAGUUGGUCAUAUCAUAUCAUUCAGAAAGCUACAACAAUACCGGGUGUAAUUUUGAACUUGUUGGUUUUAGUCAUCACAUUUCUGUGUAAACUGUUGAUGUUUCCAUUUCAGUUUUUGUACAAUAUCAACAGUUUGUUUGAUUCCUUUUCUUCUUUCGUUAACCAUAUGUUUUGGAUUAUUAUUUAUAUUUUUCUCUUUGUAUUUAUUGUUUGGUAUUGUGUGCACACUGUGUCUAUAACAAAAGAUCGCAUUAAAUGGAAAAAGAAACGCCGUUAAUUUUUUCAUGCAGAAUGUACAUAUAUAAAUAUGAAAUCCCAAAGGGAUUGGUCAUUUUUCAUGUACAUAUGAAUUUCAUAGGGAUUGGUCAACGAUUUAUUAUUACCAAAUCUGUCACAUGAUGCUGAUGUUGGUACUGUUUAUCAAUUAUUUACAUUGUAAUUUGUUUGUUACAGUAUAUUUUUUAGUUCACCUGAGCCUAAGGCUCAAUUGAGCUUUUCUGAGUAAAUUUUGUCCGUCAUUUGUCAUCUGCCACACUGUGUGUUAACUUUCCAUAUAACCAUGGUCGAUCUCACAAUCUCUUCCCUAAGUUAAGAAGAGAUAGCAAGACCGAAUGUCGGUUACUAGCCCAAUAUCAACCAAACUUGGCACAAAGCAUCAUUUGGUGGAGGAGAUUUGAGAUUUUAUUUAAGUGAAGGACCACAUUCACUUGAGGGGGAGUAACUGAGAAUUAAGUCUGACCCUCAAGACCACAGUGUGGAUUAAAGAUUUACGUGCUCAAUUGAGUGGUGUGGCCCAUGAGGCUCCUGUGCUGUGGUGGUGGUCAGGAACAAUGCACACUUAUUCUCUUUUUAUCAAUAGAUGAAAGCGUUAACAUUGCUAUACAAAAGUAGCAAACAUUGUAAUUGUGCAACAUUCUGUUCUACAUUUAUUUCCAAUUUCAUCAUCAUACAUUGAAGCUGAUUUGAUUUGAGAUGCAUUGUAUUUAGCAAUAAAAGUUGUUUUUUUUUA